GACGAACGGCUGGCGGCGUGGGAUUAGGCAUGCAAGUCGAACGGUAGGAUACCUUCGGGUAUCUGAGAGUGGCGAACGGGUGAGUAACACGUAGGUGAUCUACCCUCAAGAUUGGGACAACCCAGGGAAACUUGGGCUAAUACCGGAUGAAAGCAGCAGUGAUGUUGUUUGAAAGGUGGCGUAAGCUGCCGUUUGGGGAUGAGCCUGCGCUCUAUUAGUUAGUUGGCGGGGUAAAGGCCCACCAAGGCGAUGAUAGAUAGGCGGCCUUAACGGGUGGUCGCCCACACUGGGAUUGAGAUACGGCCCAGACUCCUACGGGAGGCAGCAGUCGAGAAUAGUCUACAAUGGCCGAAAGGCUGAUAGUGCGACGCCGCGUGAACGAAGAAGCCCUUCGGGGUGUAAAGUUCUUUUAUAUGUGAGCAGUGCUUUCUAUGUGAACAGCAUGGGGAGAGAGAUAUUAGCAUAUGAAUAAGCAACGGCUAACUCCGUG
RNAcentral lists this ribosomal RNA (490 nucleotides) under uncultured bacterium. RNAcentral describes it as "bacterial SSU rRNA". It matches the Rfam family "Bacterial small subunit ribosomal RNA", at positions 35 to 507 of the family's 1533-position model. The record is from RNAcentral.